GCAAGUCGAGCGCGAAAGGGAGCAAUCCUGAGUAAAGCGGCGCACGGGUGCGUAACACGUAGAUAACCUGCCCUUUGGAGGGGGAUAACGUUCCGAAAGGAGCGCUAAUACCGCAUACAGCAUUCUGGGGUUCGCCUUGGGAUGGCAAAGACUGGGACCCGCAAGGGCCAGUCGCCAAAGGAGGGGUCUGCGGCCCAUCAGCUAGUUGGUAAGGUAAUGGCUUACCAAGGCAAAGACGGGUAGCUGGUCUGAGAGGAUGAUCAGCCACACUGGUACUGGAACACGGACCAGACUCCUACGGGAGGCAGCAGUGGGGAAUCUUGGUCAAUGGGCGCAAGCCUGAACCAGCGACGCCGCGUGAGUGAUGAAGGCCUUCGGGUUGUAAAGCUCUGUGGGGAGGGACGAAAGAACUCAGUCGAAUAGGCUGAGUAGUUGACGGUACCUCCUUAGCAAGCACCGGCUAACUCUGUGCCAGCAGCCGCGGUAA
RNAcentral lists this ribosomal RNA (487 nucleotides) under uncultured delta proteobacterium. Its description in RNAcentral is "bacterial SSU rRNA". It matches the Rfam family "Bacterial small subunit ribosomal RNA", at positions 57 to 523 of the family's 1533-position model. Lineage: Bacteria; Deltaproteobacteria. The record is from RNAcentral.